AUUGAACGCUGGCGGCAGGCCUAACACAUGCAAGUCGAGCGGAUGAAGGGAGCUUGCUCCUGGAUUCAGCGGCGGACGGGUGAGUAAUGCCUAGGAAUCUGCCUGGUAGUGGGGGAUAACGUCCGGAAACGGGCGCUAAUACCGCAUACGUCCUGAGGGAGAAAGUGGGGGAUCUUCGGACCUCACGCUAUCAGAUGAGCCUAGGUCGGAUUAGCUAGUUGGUGGGGUAAAGGCCUACCAAGGCGACGAUCCGUAACUGGUCUGAGAGGAUGAUCAGGCACAGUGGAACUGAGAGACGGUGCAGGCGCCUACGGGAGGCAGCAGUGGGGAAUAUUGGACAAUGGGCGAAAGCCUGAGGCAGCCAUGGCGCGUGUGUGAAGAAGGUCUGCGGAUUGGAAAGCACUUUAAGUUGGGAGGAAGGGCAGUAAGUUAAUACCUUGCUGUUUUGAGGUUACCAACAGAAUAAGCACCGGCUAACUUCGUG
This 484-nucleotide ribosomal RNA is filed under the name uncultured bacterium. Its description in RNAcentral is "partial 16S ribosomal RNA". It matches the Rfam family "Bacterial small subunit ribosomal RNA", at positions 30 to 507 of the family's 1533-position model. The record is from RNAcentral.